GCCGACACCUCAAUCCUGGGCUUCUGUCCUCCAGCCUGUGAGCCAGUAAAUGUCUGCUGUUUAAGCCUCCGGGUCUGUGGUGCUGUAUUGUGGCGGCCAUGGCAGGCCUCCAGCCCAUCGCCUGAGAAGCAAGCUACUCUCAGCCUGUCGGAGAAGUCUUGGCAUCCUUCCCCACCAGCUGCCUCCUCUGUGGAGAGGUGUGAGUCACUGAGGAAAGCUAGGGUGCUCGGAACCGGGUAGGACCCAAAGCAGUCCAGUUUUCCUGAGGUCCCCCCGACACACCGAUGACCCAGCUCCCGAGGACUUGCCCGCUGUGGAUACUGACUCUGCGGCCUGGCGGCUGUGCACCUGCCCACCUGCAGGCACAGAUCUUCGGCUUCUUGUCCACUUGGCUGCCGUUUCCUUCCGUUGCCUGUAUGGGGCUUUCCUGCUCCCAGAAGGCUUGGUGGGGAUCCUGUGAUUCUAAGACUGUGUCUGGCAGAAAUGAAGCCCCCCCGGUUUGUCUGCUGCCAUUGUUUUACUUAUUUAUUUACAUGUAUAUGUCUAAUAAAAUUGUACUUGAUUUGCCCAUUUUAUGUCAGAUAAUG
Manis javanica (Malayan pangolin) is the source of this 587-nucleotide long non-coding RNA. RefSeq lists it as uncharacterized. The record is from RefSeq and is a predicted model, not a curated record. NCBI's taxonomy places the organism in Eukaryota, Metazoa, Chordata, Mammalia, Pholidota, Manidae.